GGAUAAGACAUGCAAGUCGAACGGGACAUUGUGAGUAGCAAUACAAGCAGUGUCUAGUGGCGAACGGGUGCGUAACACGUGGAUACAUUCCGGGAAGCGGGGGAUAGCCCAGGGAAACUUGGAUUAAUACCGCAUGUGAUCGAAAGAUCAAAAGACGGGGACCGCAAGGCCUGUCACUUCCCGAUUGGUCCGCGGCCUAUCAGCUAGUUGGCGGGGUAAAAGCCCACCAAGGCUACGACGGGUAGCUGGUCUUAGAGGACGACCAGCCACACUGGAACUGAGACACGGUCCAGACACCUACGGGUGGCAGCAGUCGAGAAUCUUUCACAAUGGGGGCAACCCUGAUGGAGCGACGCCGCGUGGAGGAUAAGGUCUUCGGAUUGUAAACUCCUGUCAUGCGAGAAC
RNAcentral lists this ribosomal RNA (405 nucleotides) under uncultured bacterium. RNAcentral describes it as "bacterial SSU rRNA". It matches the Rfam family "Bacterial small subunit ribosomal RNA", at positions 46 to 447 of the family's 1533-position model. The record is from RNAcentral.